CAGAGAGGCAGGUUCAAGUGCCAGGGACAGCCAAAGAAACAGAGGCUGACAUUUGAAAAGCAAAUUGGACUCUGCGUUCCAGGACGCGGCGGCUGGGGCAUGACCUGGGUGCCAGCCUGGCCUCCUCCCCUCCCACCUGCCUCACCUCUAGCAGGCGCACGAACUCCUCCAGAGUCUUCACUGCCACACCCAGUGUGUGGACAGAGAACUGCCUACCUCCCUGGGCGUGACUGUGAUGCCCUCAGCCCAGGCUCAGGUGUGCCAACGGCUAGGGAGGUCGCUCUUUCCCUGGGGGGCAGGGCUGAAGCAAGGCUGCCAUCUGCCCAGACAGGAGAAUGAACGCCAACGGCUGGCACCGGCUCUGGAGCCAGAGGAGGCCACAUCCGGGCAGCCGGUGGGGCGGGCAGAUCCCUGAAGGAGGCAAAGCCCUUACACGUUCUGGCAGAAAAACAAAAUGACUUAUGUAUGUUUGGAAAAGAAUC
RNAcentral lists this long non-coding RNA (482 nucleotides) under Homo sapiens (human). RNAcentral describes it as "HSALNT0256147". The record is from RNAcentral. Lineage: Eukaryota; Metazoa; Chordata; Mammalia; Primates; Hominidae.